GGGAUUGUGGCUCAGCGGUAAAGCGCUCAUCUAGCAUGUGUGAGGCUCUGGGUUCGAUCCUCAGCACCA
Non-coding RNA from Ictidomys tridecemlineatus (thirteen-lined ground squirrel), 69 nucleotides. Lineage: Eukaryota; Metazoa; Chordata; Mammalia; Rodentia; Sciuridae. The record is from Rfam.